AUUAACCUGAAAUGUUGGUUUCCUUGCUAUUUUGAACCUACAUUUACUUUGAACGGGAUUCUUAUAUUGUUGCAUGGCUGUCAGGCCUUCAUUGCGCAGAGGAAGACAAAAGUGUAAUUGCGGAUGCCCACCUAGCGUUAGCUAGGAGUCAAAGUGCAGGAACUGGCAUUUUGGGAUACAU
This 181-nucleotide non-coding RNA is filed under the name Lachnospiraceae bacterium. Its description in RNAcentral is "6S RNA". It matches the Rfam family "6S / SsrS RNA". From Rfam's summary of the family: E. coli 6S RNA was the first non coding RNA to be sequenced, but its function was unknown until recently. It consists of 184 nucleotides that fold into an extended hairpin structure with a large single-stranded internal bulge. The record is from RNAcentral. Lineage: Bacteria; Bacillati; Bacillota; Clostridia; Lachnospirales; Lachnospiraceae.